CGGACGGGUGAGUAAUGUCUGGGAAACUGCCCGAUGGAGGGGGGUAACUACUGGAAACGGUAGCUAAUACCGCAUAACGUCGCAAGACCAAAGAGGGGGACCUUCGGGCCUCUUGCCAUCGGAUGUGCCCAGAUGGGAUUAGCUAGUAGGUGGGGUAACGGCUCACCUAGGCGACGAUCCCUAGCUGGUCUGAGAGGAUGACCAGCCACACUGGAACUGAGACACGGCCCAG
This 232-nucleotide ribosomal RNA is filed under the name uncultured bacterium. Its description in RNAcentral is "partial 16S ribosomal RNA". It matches the Rfam family "Bacterial small subunit ribosomal RNA", at positions 99 to 334 of the family's 1533-position model. The record is from RNAcentral.